UUUCAAUUUUAUAUAUGCGGUUGAUGAUUUUCAAUUCUACAAAUUCAGCUAGGGUUUCUAAAUUCAAACUAUAAACUGACAGUACAAUUGAGUAGAAAUUGGUGGAAUUGUGAAUUGUAAUUGCGCCGAUUGGAUUCGGUCAGUGUUACAAAUGGAUACUGGCUCAUCGCCGGAGUCGGAUACGCUCACUCCGAUGGAGCGUAUUCUUAAGAGGCUUGACAUUCUUGGAGUUCCGGCUGAGUAUUUGGAACUACUACAGCCUGGUUUAGUUGCUUACGUGAAGAAUAAUAAGUCACAGAUAGCAGAGUUGGUCCCUGCACUUUUUCCUACUAAUGAGGAGGCAGUGGAGAUUAUUGCAGAACAACAAAUACAGUCUCCAAGAUCCAUGGUCAGCUCAAGCGUUAAUGUUAAAGAUUUAUUCCAAGAAAGUAUGGAGUGGAUACAGUGGUUGAUGUUUGACGGUGAACCAAGUAGAGCUCUGGAGCAACUGGAAGACACUGGUCAGCGUGGUGUUUGUGGGGCUGUUUGGGGUAACAAUGACAUUGCAUAUCGUUGCCGUACGUGUGAGCAUGAUCCAACAUGUGCAAUAUGUGUUCCAUGUUUCCAGAAUGGAAACCAUAAGGACCACGAUUACUCUAUUAUUUAUACAGGUGGUGGUUGCUGUGAUUGUGGAGAUGUUACUGCAUGGAAACGUGAAGGAUUUUGUUCCAAACACAAAGGAGCUGAGCAGAUUCAACCUCUUCCAGAAGAGUUUGCAAACUCAAUGGGGCCUGUACUAGAUUUAUUACUGUCUUGUUGGAGAAAAAGGUUUCUAUUUCCAGAUAGCAUCUCUGGGAGAAAUCCUAGAAAAAAUGAUCAUUCUACUGAGCUCAAAAUGGUGACAGAUGAGUUAACAUCUGCAGUGGUAAAGAUGCUAUUGAAGUUCUGUAAGCAUAGUGAAAGUUUGCUUAGUUUUAUCUCUAGGAGAGUAUCUUCUUCAGCAGGCUUACUAGAUAUUCUUGUGAGGGCAGAGAGGUUUAUGAUCAUUGAAGAAAAUGUCAAGAAGAUUCAUGAAUUGCUGUUGAAAUUGUUGGGUGAACCUCAAUUUAAAUAUGAAUUUGCAAAAGUAUUUCUGAGCUAUUAUCCUACUGUUGUGAAUGAGGCAACAAGUGAAUGCAAUGAUUCAGUUUAUAACAAAUAUCCACUACUAUCAACAUUCUCAGUGCAGAUAUUUACGGUGCCUACUUUGACCCCACGUCUUGUGAAGGAAAUGAAUCUUCUACCCAUGCUGUUGGGAUGUUUAGGGGACAUAUUUGCGUCUUGCGCUGGAGAAGAUGGUAAAUUGCAGGUCAUGAAAUGGUCAAAUUUGUAUGAAACUACUCUCCGUGUGGUUGAAGACAUCCGAUUUGUCAUGAGUCAUUCUGUUGUACCUAGAUAUGUAACUCAUGAACGACGAGAUAUAUUGAGAACAUGGAUGAAACUAUUGGCUUUCGUGCAAGGAGCGAACCCACAAAAAAGAGAAACUGGCAUUCAUGUAGAAGAAGAGAAUGAAAAUAUGCAUUUGCCUUUUGUUUUGGGUCAUUCUAUUGCAAAUAUUCACUCACUUUUGGUAAGUGGUGCUUUCUCUACGAGUAGUACUGAAGAUGGUGCCGAUGCUUUCUUCAACACACACAGAGAGGAUUUUGAAGACCAAGAUAGCCAAAGACAUGCAAAAGUGGGAAGGCUAUCACAGGAAAGUUCUGUAUGCAGUAUGGCUGGGAGGAGUCCAUUAGAACAUGCAUCCAGGGUUCUUGAAGUACAUUAUGAUAGUUCUCCAAUAUCAUCAUCUGUUUUAUGCUUAACAUUUGAGUGCCUGAGGGCCAUUGAAAAUUGGCUGAUAGUUGAUAACACUUCGGGACCUCUCCUUCACAUAUUAUGUCCGAAAACAAGUUCUACUCCCGGCAAUAAUUUCUCUGUGUUGAAAAAAACACUCUCAAAGUUUAGAAGAGGCAGAGAAAUGUUUAAAUCUCAGAGUCCUCCUUCAAAUGACGUUAGACUCGUGACUUCUGCUGAAGGUUAUAAUAAACAAUACUCUAAUCCUUCCCUGAAUGGUCGGACUAUCUUGGAUUCUGGCCUGGGUUCGGGCCAAGAACCAGCUUGUCUUGGUGGUCAUGAUGACAGUAUGCUGGAAGGAGAUAAUGCAUCUGAAUUAGGAGAACUGCGGUUGCUGAGUUUGUCUGAUUGGCCUGAUAUAGUAUAUAAAGUUAGUCUGCAGGAUAUAUCAGUUCACAAUCCGUUGCAGCGAUUACUUUCAAUGGUUUUACAGAAGGCACUAGGCAAAUGCUAUGGGGAGAAUGCACAACCAGUUGCUAGUUCUGCUAAGUUGUCAUCUUCUGUCCAUUAUGACUUUUUUGGCCAUAUUUUGGGAGUCUACCACCCACAGGGUUUUUCUGCCUUCAUUAUGGAACAUGCACUUCGGAUUAGGGUGUUUUGUGCUCAGGUUUAUGCUGGAAUGUGGCGUAGGAAUGGUGAUUCUGCUAUAUUAUCCUGUGAGUGGUAUCGCUCUGUCCGCUGGUCUGAGCAGGGUCUGGAGCUUGACCUCUUUCUGCUACAAUGCUGUGCUGCACUAGCACCAGCUGAUUUAUAUAUCAGUAGAAUUUUAGAACGUUUUGAGUUAUCAAAUUACCUCUCGUUCAAUCUUGAACGUCCUAGUGAGUACGAACCUGCUUUAGUUCAAGAGAUGCUUACUCUUAUUAUUCAAAUAUUGAAAGAACGACGGUUUUGUGGGCUAACCUCGAGUGAAUGUUUGCAAAGAGAAUUAGUAUAUAGACUAUCAAUUGGUGAUGCCACUCAUAGUCAGCUGGUGAAGUCUCUUCCUCGCGACCUGUCCAAGAUUGAUAAAUUUCAGGAAGUUUUGGACAAAAUCGCAAUUUAUUCAAAUCCAUCUGGCAUGAACCAGGGUAUGUACAAAUUGCGAUUGCCCUAUUGGAAGGAACUGGAUCUUUACCAUCCUCGUUGGAAUUCGAGGGAUUUGCAAGUAGCCGAAGAGAGAUAUAUGCGUUUCUGUAAUGCAUCGGCAUUGACCACUCAGCUUCCAGGAUGGAGCAAGAUUUAUCCACCACUUGGUCGUAUAGCUGAAGUAGCUACCUGUAGGACAGUCCUCCAAAUUGUCCGUGCUGUUGUAUCAUAUGCUGUGUUUUCUGAUGCAUCAAAUGCUUCAUGUGCUCCAGAUGGUGUUCUGUUAAGAGCACUGCAUUUGCUGUCAUUAGCAUUGGAUAUUUGUCAUGCACAUAGGGAAUCUGGUGAACAUAGUUGCUCUAACGGAGAUGUUAUUCCAAUUUUAGCUCUAGCUUGUGAAGAAAUAUCAGUGGGUAAAUUUGGUGAUCAGAGCUUGCUAUCUCUUCUCGUGUUGUUAAUGAGGAAACACAAGAAAGAAAAUUACUUUGUGGAGGCUGGAAUGCUUAACCUCUUAUCUUUGGUUGAAAGUGUUCUGAAGAAAUUUGCUGAACUGCAACCUGAAUGCAUGAAAAAAUUGCAAGAUCUUGCUCCAGAUGUGGUCAAUCAGUUAUCUCGAUCCUUUCCAGCUGGUGAUAUGAAUAGCUUCAAAUCAGUUUCAGAUAGUGAUAAGCAUAAGGCUAAAGCUCGAGAGAGACAAGCUGCUAUGCUGGAGAAGAUGAGGGUUCAACAAUCCAAGUUUUUAGCAAGCAUUGAUUCCAAAACAGAUGUUGCCGCAGAUGAUUCUAAACACGGCAAAGACUUAUGCGAUUCAGAUGGUAGACCUAGAUCUGAAGAGGCUACUCCUGUUAUCUGCUCUCUUUGCCGUGAUCCAAAUUCUAGAAGUCCUGUAUCUUACCUAAUUCUUCUUCAGAAAUCCAGGCUUCUCAGUUGCACCAACAGAGGUCCUCCUUCAUGGGAACAAACUCGCCGCCCUGGGAAAGAGCCCACGUCUUGUGCCAAACAUGUGCCAAACAUUUCAUCUGAAAGGAGCAAUCUUUCAAGAAGUUCAGAAAUUACUUCAUCAUCUUGUUUAAUGCAAUUAAUCCAAAAUAAAGUAAAUGAGUUUGCUUUAGAAGGACAACCUAAGGAAGUGGAAGCAUUUCUGGAAUAUAUCAAGGAAAAAUUCCCCUCAAUGAAGAACAUUCAACCCUCUUGCGCAUCAAGCACUGUAAAGAAAAAGACAUCCUCUUCCUUCGAGAUGCUAGAAGAACACAUGUACUCGUUGAUUUGGGAAGAAAUGGAUGCUAAUUCAUGGAACUGGGAUCUUUUAAAAAAUGAUAGGAAACUAUCAGCUUUGGGUGAUAAUGGGAGUGCUGAGUCACUUCUGCUUGGAAGAUACAUUUCUGCUCUUUCAAGAGAAUGUAGUCCUUCUGCAUCAACGAAUAGCCGCAAGGCACAAUUGGAGUCAAGUAUGCUGCUUCCAACAUACAAUGGAUUUGGUCCAUCAGAUUGUGAUGGAAUAUAUCUUUCAUCCUGUGGGCAUGCUGUGCAUCAGGGAUGUCUUGACCGUUAUUUAUCAUCUCUAAAGGAAAGAUAUACCAGAAGAAUUGUUUUUGAAGGAGGUCAUAUUGUAGAUCCAGAUCAGGGGGAGUUCCUCUGUCCUGUAUGUCGUGGACUUGCCAACUCAGUCCUGCCAACCUUACCUGUAGAUUCUGGAAGGUUCACAUCCCUUCAUUCAUCUUCCAGUCCAUCAGAUGCUGUUGGCCCUUCAUCCUCGUCAAGUGCAGUGGUAGAUGCACUUCAAUUUAAAGAAGCUUUAUUUCUCCUACAAAGUGCUGCUGAUGUUUCUGGAAGUAGAGAAAUUAUCCAAAGACUUCCACUUCGGCAGUUUGGGCGCAUGAGGGUAAACCUUGAAUCUUCGUAUCAUGUAUUGUGUGGAAUGUACUUUCCAGACAAUGAUAAGAUUUCAGAAUCUGGUAGACUUAGUCAUUCUCUGAUUCUGUAUGACACUCUUAAGUACUCACUUAUAUCAACUGAAAUAGCUACUCGAUCCGGAAAGACAUCAUUAGCUCCAAACUACAGUCUUCGUGCCUUGUACAAAGAACUACAAUCUUCAAAUGGUUUUAUACUUGCUUUGUUGCUAAGUAUUGUACAAAGUACACGAACAAAUAACUCACUCACUGUCCUCUUGAGACUCAGAGGCAUUCAGCUGUUUGCAGAGUCUAUAUGUUCUGGCACUUCUGCAAAUGAAAUAUCAGAUCCAUCUGUUGGAGGUAAUAUGCAAGCCAUCUUGGAAUGUGCUGAAACAGAAAAUCAGUAUCCUGAUAUUCAGUUCUGGAGAUGGUCAGCUGAUCCA
RNAcentral lists this unclassified non-coding RNA (5251 nucleotides) under Hevea brasiliensis (rubber tree). Lineage: Eukaryota; Viridiplantae; Streptophyta; Magnoliopsida; Malpighiales; Euphorbiaceae. The record is from RNAcentral.